CUCUUUACAUUUUCGGGACCAGCAUCGUGAUUGUGCUGCUGAUGCAAACAAUUAAAAUAGCUGAGUCCUCGGGGUUUCAGAAUACAAUACGUGCACUAUGCCUCCUUACCCUGACAUCUUUUCUGAAGAUUUCAAAAUGACUGAUGAAAUAAAACGUGAUGUGCUAUUAAGGGUAAUAUUUUUGCAACCUAUUCGCCGGUUUUUUUUUUACGAUCAACGUGUUUUUUACUUUUUUAUUUUAUCUUCGGUCGUACAAGAUGGGUGCCUCGAUCAUUUUAAAAUUAUACGUGUCUCGAGAUUAAAAGUGCUUAUUCUCCAUGUGCAAAAUUUAAAGUGCUUGUUUUCCUUGCUUUGUAAAAAUAAAAGACUCGUUUUUGGAAGUUGAUAAAAAGAACUCGGAUUUAGUUUGAAGCUUUUCCUUGUGGAUUUUGGGACUUCAAAAGUAUUUAUAUACAAAUGUAUAGUUAAAGGUUUCCAAACUAUGAUGUAAUAAACAAGAUUUAUACCCGGGCAUCUUUAAAAUACUUAAAACAUAUAAUAUGCAUGUAUGUCGGUCUGGACGGCAACGAUAGAACACUCUCAGAGGCGGAUUUAGGAGGGGGCAGGGGGCCCGAGCCCCCCCUUUUUGGAGAAAAAAAUGGUUGCUUAUAUAGGGAAUCAUUGAAGCGUGACUGG
RNAcentral lists this long non-coding RNA (675 nucleotides) under Mytilus galloprovincialis (Mediterranean mussel). Lineage: Eukaryota; Metazoa; Mollusca; Bivalvia; Mytilida; Mytilidae. The record is from RNAcentral.